GGGAGGUAUAUGUCUUCUAAAUUUUUCUAUUGUCCAGAGACCGAUAGCGCACAUUUUGAGUGAUCAAUUGAUGAUUUGCACUUUGAAAAGAGGGUUAUUAAGUACGUUUUAUUUUUGAAAUGGAAGUGCCUAUGACCAGACUUGGGCCCGGUGAAUCUUCUUGCGUUCUCGCUUUUGUUCUUUGCCGGUCUCAGGCCAGAAACGUUUUGGCUUUUUUCUUUUUUCCUUCUUUAAUGUGGCUCCCACGGGAAUGUUCUAACCUGCUGAGCAAUACCCUGAGCUGGAAUGGGGGACUCGCAUGGCAAGAAAGUUGGCAUAAUGGUCAUUCGCGACACAAUCUUGAAACCGAGAGCAUGGAGUAAUCUUCGUAUGAAAGGAUUCGAGUGUCUUCCCUACGC
Molecule: ribosomal RNA, 398 nt
Filed under: Cordyceps militaris
Lineage: Eukaryota; Fungi; Ascomycota; Sordariomycetes; Hypocreales; Cordycipitaceae
Description: eukaryotic LSU rRNA
Rfam family: Eukaryotic large subunit ribosomal RNA
Source: RNAcentral